UAUGGUAAUUGCCAGCAGCCGCGGUAAAACGUAGGUCACAAGCGUUGUCCGGAAUUACUGGGUGUAAAGGGAGCGCAGGCGGGAAGACAAGUUGGAAGUGAAAUCUAUGGGCUCAACCCAUAAACUGCUUUCAAAACUGUUUUUCUUGAGUAGUGCAGAGGUAGGCGGAAUUCCCGGUGUAGCGGUGGAAUGCGUAGAUAUCGGGAGGAACACCAGUGGCGAAGGCGGCCUACUGGGCACCAACUGACGCUGAGGCUCGAAAGUGUGGGUAGCAAACAGG
This 280-nucleotide ribosomal RNA is filed under the name Faecalibacterium prausnitzii. Its description in RNAcentral is "partial 16S ribosomal RNA". It matches the Rfam family "Bacterial small subunit ribosomal RNA", at positions 497 to 776 of the family's 1533-position model. The record is from RNAcentral. Lineage: Bacteria; Bacillati; Bacillota; Clostridia; Eubacteriales; Oscillospiraceae.